GACGAACGCUGGCGGCGUGCUUAACACAUGCAAGUCGAACGGUGAUGCUCCAGCUUGCUGGAGUGGAUCAGUGGCGAACGGGUGAGUAACACGUGAGCAACCUGCCCCAGACUCUGGAAUAAGCGCUGGAAACGGCGUCUAAUACUGGAUACGAAACUGGCCCGCAUGGGCAUGGUUUGGAAAGUUUUUCGGUUUGGGAUGGGCUCGCGGCCUAUCAGCUUGUUGGUGUGGUAAUGGCUCACCAAGGCGACGACGGGUAGCCGGCCUGAGAGGGCGACCGGCCACACUGGGACUGAGACACGGCCCAGACUCCUACGGGAGGCAGCAGUGGGGAAUAUUGCACAAUGGGCGGAAGCCUGAUGCAGCGACGCCGCGUGAGGGAUGACGGCCUUCGGGUUGUAAACCUCUUUCAGCAGGGAAGAAGCGAAAGUGACGGUACCUGCAGAAGAAGCACCGGCUAACUACGUG
This 468-nucleotide ribosomal RNA is filed under the name uncultured bacterium. RNAcentral's name for it is "partial 16S ribosomal RNA". It matches the Rfam family "Bacterial small subunit ribosomal RNA", at positions 28 to 507 of the family's 1533-position model. The record is from RNAcentral.